This is an RNA transcript of Tribolium castaneum (red flour beetle), 5142 nucleotides long. RefSeq lists it as uncharacterized. The record is from RefSeq and is a predicted model, not a curated record. NCBI's taxonomy places the organism in Eukaryota, Metazoa, Arthropoda, Insecta, Coleoptera, Tenebrionidae. The transcript has 5 exons.
UAAAAACAUAAAGUUACCAGAUUUUUGAAAUUCUGUUAAUCAACCUUUUCUAAUCAAUUAUUUUUGUUUUUGAUUAUGCUUUAAAGCUAAAAACUAGCACAAACUAGUUGUAGUUGAAUCAGAACAAAAUCUGUUUAAAUAAAUUGUGGAACAGUUCACCUUUGUCACUUUUAUAAUUUGAGGUUAAGUCCAUUUGGGGCUCAUGAAUUGUGUCAGUUGUCAGUCCCUUUAUUGUUUGUAAGCUAUUAUAAAAUUUUUAAAUCUUGAAACAAAAUGAGCAAAAGUGAUAAGUGGGGAAGUGUGUGUCGAGCAUGUCUCUCAGUCAGCAAUGAUUUUUUCCCAAUUUUUGAAACUGAACAGUUGGGGAUCAGUCCAGUCUCCAUGCUGCAAAAUUUAUCACUUGAGCUAAGCGACAAUGUAGAUUUGCCCCGGAAUUUGUGCCAUUCUUGUUACACAAAGCUACGAAUAGGGAACGACUUUGUGGAAAUUUUUAAAAAAUCACAAGAGACGUUACAAAACAGCCUGGACACAAUUCAAACACAAUUUGAAGAAUUUGGCAACGAUACGGAAAGUUUUAUUAUUGAAUGUGAGGACGGUAGUAGGAAAAACAAACAGUACGAUUCAGAUGACCAAGACUAUUUAAUAAAACGGUCAGUCGAACUGACCCAACAGUACAAAAACAACAAAUGGAACGGCGAUAGUGACUCUGAUAAUUGUUCCAUAGACAGUGAAACAGUUGACUCUGACCACGCAACAGAGCCAGCUGAAGAGAAAAAAUCGUGUUCUAGAACCACAGUUCUAAGUUGUCCAGUUUGCCCAAAAACCUUCAAGAGAUUUACUUUGUUCCGUUCACACUUACACUCACACAGUGGCCAAAUAAACUGUGGGCCAUGUUCACGCCAGUUCCACGAUACGGAAGAAUACAUCAAUCACUACCAAAUGAAACACAGGUUUCAAUGCAACAUUUGCCAAAAAUCAUUUCUGUCAAGGGGCUCAUACAGCAAACAUAAAUAUACACACAGUAACGCAACUCCUAGAUUUAAUUGUCCGAUAUCAGACUGUCCAAAGGUGUUCAGCAUAAAGCAGUCUCUGCACAACCACGUGGCCACAAUACACAGCGAAAGAAGAAACUUCUUGUGUAAUAUUUGUGGCGCUUCUUUUAAAAAUCACGAUAACUUGCGGUAUCACAUGAAAAAACAUACGGGAGCUCCACAUUUGUGCACUUAUUGUGGAAGGACGUUUAUGCAAGCCGGUCAUUUGAAAUACCACAUGUGGAAACACACAGGGGUGAAGCCUUACAAGUGUGGUAAAUGCCAUAAAGGUUUUGUGUCCAAGUGGGUGUUGACAAUGCAUGUGAAGAAGAACUGUGGGCAAGUGUAAAACGACAGUAGUUUCAACUUAAUUUAAUGUGUUCUGUUUCACAUUCACAUGACUAUAAAUAAUUGAAAAUAUAUUAAUUUGUUAUUCUAAAAUUAUUUGGGAUAAAAGCAGCACAAAUAGAAGAGUAUUUAAGUCAAGCUACAGUAGCAAGAGCUAGAAUCUGAAGGAUGAUCCUUAUUAUCCACCUGGAAGUUUCCAUUUAAUGCAAAUGAUUCCCAAAGCCCUGGAGUUUGUAUUAUCUAAAAAAUUCGAUUAGUGAUCACGAAGUUGUGACUUAAUCCAUACUUUAUGCACUAGUUCCUCAAAAGCGCACUGGACCCCGUCUCUGGUUUUGGCGCUUGCUUCAAUGUACAGUGUUUGGUGUCUUCUAGCGAAUUUCAUCGCUUCUUCCCUGUUCACUUCCCGAUUUUCCUGAAAGUCAUUAUUACACACAUGAAGCCUUGGAAGUGAUUAUUUACUUUAUCAAUUUUAUUUCCCACAAUCAUUUUGACUAUGUUCGCUUUCGUCGAGUAUGUUUCCAGUUCGUUCAACCAUGUUUCCAGUUUCGCAAAUGUGGAAUAGUUGGUGACAUCAUAAACUAAAAUAGCACCUUGUGCAUCGCGGUAAUAAGAGGGUGUUAAUGUUCGGAAUCGCUCCUGACCAGCUGUGUCCCAUAUUGCCAGCUUUACGGUGUUGUCAUCGACUGUGAGUUUUUUGGUUUUAAAAUCAACGCCAAUUGUUAGCGUUUGAUCAGGAUCGAAGUUGUCUUCAGUAAAGCGGACUAAAAUGCUAAGUAGGUGGUAGUAAGUGGGGUAAAUAGUUUGGUUUCUUGUUCUACCUGGAUUUCCCGACGCCACUCUCUCCAAUUAUCAGGAUUUUUAACGUCGUCAACACCUCUUCGUCCAUUACUAAUCAACAAUGGGGAUUACGCGUAGUUAUGAAACUAAUGCGGAAAACAAUAUUUUCGUGGUUUCUGGAAGUAAUGCGAUUCUUCUACAAUAACUGGCACUGAAUUUUGUUGAAACCAAUUAUAACUUUACGAUUAAAAAAAAAUUUAACAAAUUUUAAUGACAAUUACUUGACAUUGACAUGUUUACAACAGUAAAACAGAUUUCUGCAUUGCCUGCAGUCUGCAACUAAACUUUGAGAAGCGGGUAAUUUGAAAAGAAACGCCAUAUAGUGAUUGAAAAAACUUUUUAUUGACUUAAAAUACAUUAAAACGCCCUUACUUCUAGUUACUUAUCAAACCUAAAUAAUCGUCCAUCAAAGUACCAAUUGCAAACUAAAAAAGAAUCGUAAAAAAUUGGAACUGAAAUAUUUGAUUUAUUACUAUUCCAGUGGCAUCCACACGUGUACCAACUAUUUUCAAUCUAAUUUCUCCUUCAGCAUGAAUAACAACAUCCUCAUCUUUGGUUUUGUAACACUGAGGAUUUACAUUUGGACAAAACUCCAUCUCUGCCGGUAUAGACUAAAAAAUAGUGUCACAAUAUUAUCACACCCUUUAAAAAAAAACUCACAUGAUGUGAGAUAAAGCAUGAUAAAGGUCCAAUUUCUGCAAACAUUCCCACCUAGAAAAAACCCAAUCUUGUAAAAAAAGAAGUGAAAAUAUUCCGUAAUCACUUUGUUAACUUGCCGUACGACAGCAUCAAGCACUUCUCCCUUAAAUGGUCUGAAAACUAUAGCUUUAUACUUUACUGGAUACACCACAUAUCCCUGGCCAGGUAAAAUAAGGCCAGCCCCUAUGCUAUCUAUCGUGGUUACAGCAAUUACAAAACCGUAUCUAAAAUUAAAGAAUGAAGAUAAACACUUUUAAGUAAAUUUGAAUACAGACUUUCCCGUACAGGUCCCUUCGACUUCUGUAUACAGCUUGGUUUUCACCUUUUCAAGUAGCUGUGGGCCGAAAUAUUGCGGGUGUAAUAAAAUUUCAUGCUCCAACGAUAUCUAAAAAGUAUUGUGUAUAAAACAGUGAUUUAUUUAGUCGUAAUAUUACAUGAUAAAACAUUUUUUUUGUUUAAAAACACAAACAAUUCCGCGUUAAUUUGCCGCUCAAAUCUAAGGUUAUGUUUUUGUUGGCAGUUGUAUCAAAUACCAACCCAACAAAGCGCUAAUAAUUAAAAUUAGUAAUUUAUUUUUGUUGUUCAAUGUUAUUAAGUUGUAAAAGUCCAUUCCAUACUUAACAAAAUGAUUAUUUAAUCAUUCCUAUUGUUAUCUCUUAUUGUUAAGACACCUAAAUUUUAAAAUACGCGCUAUCAGUCGUGACGUCACCUCCCCACUCUUAUUACGGUAGGUCAGUUGCUCAAAGCUAAACAACCAGUCUUUUACAUGUGGUGUAAUACGUUUUUCGGUUUUUUGGUUGUGUUUGUGCGUUAAUAACGUGUCAAAUAGCUGCAGCGGGUGUAAUUUGUGCCACUAGAGACUUUAAUUUAAUUUAGAAGUGACUUUUUGUGAAAAUACGAACUUUAUAAAAGAAUACAGGGAACCACGUUGUCGGUGAGAAAUGGCAGAAAAGCACAUUGUUAAGUUUCACUUUAUUGCGAAAUUUUUUGGGGACGGUAAUCGCUUUUUAGUUCGGGGAGAAAAUGCUUUUACCAGCGGUCACGUCACCAAAUUUAGGUUUGAUGGCACAGUACAACCGAUGAGAAUUUCUGCAGAAGUUCUACCGAGCAUGAAAAAGCUAAAUUAUACUGUGGAGAUUUCAUAUGACCUAGAAGAAGGGGUUAAGACGGCACAUUGUACCUGCCCAAGGGGCAACGUGGCUUGCCAUCAUAUGGCUGCAGCAUUAUAUUAUGCUCAUUAUAAUGUAAGUGCUACUGACAUUGAGUGUCAGUGGAGUGCCCCAUCAAAAACAACACCACAAACAGAAGUCAUUAAGUUAGCUGAUGUUUACAAGCCGAAAUUAUCAAACUAUACGGCACUGUCUAGGUCCUCUACUGAGGACGAAAUUAUUCAGUUCCGUGCCGAAAUAGGCGUCACGAAUGUGGUGGGCUUCACUUGGCUCCUAAGACCAGAAGCAAGUGAAGAAGCCAGAAAAAUUAUUGCAGAUAUCGAAGAAAUUCUACAAAGCUUAGAAUACGUGCAGGCCAUAGACAAACAAAAGUUUCUUUUGGAGAAGUGCAGAAUAGAUGAGGCACGCAUUAAACUGGUUGAGGCGUGCACUCGGGGCCAACAUGUUAACGAAAAUUGGCAUGUAGCAAGGAAACAUCGUUUAACGGCCAGCAGGUUUGGCAUGGUACUAUCUGCUUGCAGUAGACGAAGAUUCCCACCCUCUUUAUUUAAAAAUUUGGCGGAAGGCUAUUCGCUUGACAGGGUUGCUGCUGUGCAGUGGGGUAAGACCCACGAGAAGACAGCGCUCAGAGAAUUUGAAGAAGCGACGAAUCUUAAAGUCCAAGAGACGGGAUUUUGGUUGGAAGAAUCAGGCUUUUUGGGAGCAAGUCCUGAUGGAUUAGUGGAAGAAGAUGGGAUUCUCGAAAUUAAAUGCCCAUAUAAAUAUAGGGACACUGACAGUUUGUCUGAAGCCCUGAAGGAUAAAAAAUAUUUUUAUUGGAGGGAUGAAAAUGAGGACAUUAAUCUUAACAGCAAUCACAAUUAUUACCACCAAGUACAGGGGCAAAUGCACAUCACUGGUCGAAGUAUCUGCUACUUUGUCGUGUGGACACCAAAGUGCACAGAGAUAUUUCAAAUUGAAAAAGAUCCGGGGUGGUCAGAAAAUAUCAAUAUUUUAAAAGAAUUUUAUCUUGACCAAUAUAUUUCCUUUAUUUCACAAUAAUAAACUGUAUAUAAAUA